Molecule: ribosomal RNA, 618 nt
Filed under: Trametes elegans
Lineage: Eukaryota; Fungi; Basidiomycota; Agaricomycetes; Polyporales; Polyporaceae
Description: eukaryotic LSU rRNA
Rfam family: 5.8S ribosomal RNA (bases 207-360)
Source: RNAcentral
AAGCUGACUGCGGAGGACAUUACGAGUUCUGAACGGGUUGUAGCUGGCCUUCCGGGGCAUGUGCACACCCUGCUCAUCCACUCUACACCUGUGCACUCACUGUAGGUUGGCGUGGGCUUCCUUCGCGGGAAGCAUUCUGCCGGCCUAUGUACACUACAAACACUAUAAAGUAACAGAAUGUAUUCGCGUCUAACGCAUCAUAAUACAACUUUCAGCAACGGAUCUCUUGGCUCUCGCAUCGAUGAAGAACGCAGCGAAAUGCGAUAAGUAAUGUGAAUUGCAGAAUUCAGUGAAUCAUCGAAUCUUUGAACGCACCUUGCGCUCCUUGGUAUUCCGAGGAGCAUGCCUGUUUGAGUGUCAUGGAAUUCUCAACCUAUAAAUCUUUGUGGUUUAUGGGCUUGGACUUGGAGGCUUGCCGGCCUCAAUGGUCGGCUCCUCUUGAAUGCAUUAGCUUGAUUCCGUGCGGAUCGGCUCUCAGUGUGAUAAUUGUCUACGCUGUGAACCGUGAAGUGUUUGGCGAGCUUCUAACCGUCCCUUUGGGACAAUUUAUUGACAUCUGACCUCAAAUCAGGUAGGACUACCCGCUGAACUUAAGCAUAUCAAUAAGCGGGAGGAAUA